GUGAGAAUAGUAUAGUACAUUACAUUAAAUUGCAAAUUUAAAAAGACAUUUAAGUUUUUCACU
RNAcentral lists this transfer RNA (63 nucleotides) under Calanus glacialis. Its description in RNAcentral is "tRNA-Cys". The record is from RNAcentral. Lineage: Eukaryota; Metazoa; Arthropoda; Copepoda; Calanoida; Calanidae.